This 284-nucleotide ribosomal RNA is filed under the name uncultured bacterium. RNAcentral describes it as "partial 16S ribosomal RNA". It matches the Rfam family "Bacterial small subunit ribosomal RNA", at positions 72 to 354 of the family's 1533-position model. The record is from RNAcentral.
CGUUGCUUUCUUCCGCCGGCGACCGGCGCACGGGUAAGGUAACACGUAUGCAACCUGCCCCUCGUCAGGGGGACAACCCGCCGAAAGGCGGGCUAAACCCGCGUACAUGCCACCGGGGCAUCCCGGAGGCAGGAAAGGCUUCGGCCGGACAGGGAUGGGCAUGCGGCGCAUUAGGCAGUAGGCGGGGUAACGGCCCACCUAACCGACGAUGCGUAGGGGUUCUGAGAGGAAGGUCCCCCACACUGGUACUGAGACACGGACCAGACUCCUACGGGAGGCAGCAG